UUUUACAUAUUGUAUAUAUCAAACAUCAUUAUAUAUAGGAGGGAAACAUAUUUUAAUCACUUCCUUUUUAGUUAUGCCUUGUUGAUUGCUUGAUAUUUGCAUGUUUCUCCAAGUCUUGUGAUCUUGAUGUAUUCUGAACUCAUCCUUGAUGGACGGACAUUGAGAUAUCUCAGGAUCUUUCAGAAUGGAUUGUUGAUAUGUGUGUAUUCCCUACCUUCUUUGGUGUCUUGGGACUGGUUUCUGUAUUUAGAUGUGGAGUGGAGUGUGGCUUUCCUCUCUGAGGUUG
RNAcentral lists this long non-coding RNA (286 nucleotides) under Panax ginseng (ginseng). RNAcentral's name for it is "long non-coding RNA (PGIN_LNC003207)". The record is from RNAcentral. Lineage: Eukaryota; Viridiplantae; Streptophyta; Magnoliopsida; Apiales; Araliaceae.